Molecule: ribosomal RNA, 999 nt
Filed under: Geisleria sychnogonioides
Lineage: Eukaryota; Fungi; Ascomycota; Lecanoromycetes; Ostropales; Stictidaceae
Description: LSU rRNA
Rfam family: Eukaryotic large subunit ribosomal RNA
Source: RNAcentral
CCACCCACCUCGAUAUUGGGCCUCCGGUCGAGUUGUAUUUGUAGAGGAUGUUUCGGGUGAGGUACCGUUCUAAGUCUCUUGGAACAGGGCGUCAUAGAGGGUGAGAAUCCCGUAUGUGACCGGUGUCCGAGUCCAUGGGAAACUCCUUCGACGAGUGGAGUUGUUUGGGGAGGCCACUCAAAAUGGGUGGUAAAUUUCAUCUAAAGCUAAAUACUGGCCAGAGACCGAUAGCGCGCAAGUAGAGUGAUCGAAAGAUGAAAAGCACUUUGGAAAGAGAGUUGAAAAGUACGUGAAAUUGUUGAAAGGGAAGCGCUUGCAGCCAGACUCGCCUGGGGAUGAUCAACCGUCUUUCGGGGCGGUGCACUCUCCUCCAGUCGGGCCAGCAUCGGUUCGGGCGGCCGGACAAAGGCCUCGGGAAUGUGGCUCCUCACGGGGAGUGUUAUAGCCCGGGGCAGAAUACGGUCAGUCUGGAUCGAGGACCGCGCUUAUUGCUAGGAUGCUGGCGUAAUGGCUGCCAGCGACCCGUCUUGAAACACGGACCAAGGAGUCGAUCAUCCACGCGAGCGUUUGGGUGUAAAACCCGUGCGCGUAAUGAAAGUGAACGGAGGUGAGAACCCGCAAGGGCGCAUCAUCGACCGAUCCUGAUGUCUUCGGAUGGAUUUGAGUAUGAGUGCGGAUGAUCGGACCCGAAAGAUGGUGAACUAUGCGUGAAUAGGGUGAAGCCAGAGGAAACUCUGGUGGAGGCUCGCAGCGGUUCUGACGUGCAAAUCGAUCGUCAAAUUUGCGCAUAGGGGCGAAAGACUAAUCGAACCAUCUAGUAGCUGGUUCCUGCCGAAGUUUCCCUCAGGAUAGCAGUAACGUUUUCAGUUUUAUGAGGUAAAGCGAACAAUUAGAGGUCCGGGUAGCGAAAUGCCCUCCGCCUAUUCUUGAACUUUAAAUAUGUAAGAAGUCCUUGUUGCUUAGUGAACGUGGACAUUGAAUGCACCCGUUUCCUGGGCA